This 226-nucleotide long non-coding RNA is filed under the name Gossypium barbadense (sea-island cotton). RNAcentral's name for it is "long non-coding RNA (GBAR_LNC020543)". Lineage: Eukaryota; Viridiplantae; Streptophyta; Magnoliopsida; Malvales; Malvaceae. The record is from RNAcentral.
GGUACUAUGUUGCCAACACGGCAGACCCUCAACUAAAUUCACCAGUUGCUCUAAAAUCAACGAGUUUUAACAGCUACCUCAGAUGUAUGAGGUUUCCUGACAAGUUUGACACCAAAUAACCUCCAAUCAUCUCAAAUAUGUAUGCCCGAGCAUAUUGUAUUCUUUCUACUUUAGUCGAAUCAUUCCCCGGCUUAGGGAAUGUGUAUCGUAACCAAUCCAUCUCGAU